This 862-nucleotide ribosomal RNA is filed under the name uncultured bacterium. RNAcentral's name for it is "bacterial SSU rRNA". It matches the Rfam family "Bacterial small subunit ribosomal RNA", at positions 28 to 896 of the family's 1533-position model. The record is from RNAcentral.
GAUGAACGCUAGCGGCAGGCUUAACACAUGCAAGUCGAGGGGUAUUGGUUUUCGGACCAAGAGACCGGCGCACGGGUGCGUAACGCGUAUGCAAUCAACCUUUUACAGAGGGAUAGCCCAGAGAAAUUUGGAUUAAUACCUCAUAGUAUAUAGACCUGGCAUCAGGAUUAUAUUAAAGUCACAACGGUGAAAGAUGAGCAUGCGUCCCAUUAGCUAGUUGGUAUGGUAACGGCAUACCAAGGCUACGAUGGGUAGGGGUCCUGAGAGGGAGAUCCCCCACACUGGUACUGAGACACGGACCAGACUCCUACGGGAGGCAGCAGUGAGGAAUAUUGGACAAUGGGCGCAAGCCUGAUCCAGCCAUGCCGCGUGCAGGAUGACGGUCCUAUGGAUUGUAAACUGCUUUUGCACAGGAAGAAACAACGCUACGUGUAGCGUCUUGACGGUACUGUGAGAAUAAGGAUCGGCUAACUCCGUGCCAGCAGCCGCGGUAAUACGGAGGAUCCAAGCGUUAUCCGGAAUCAUUGGGUUUAAAGGGUCCGUAGGCGGUCUUAUAAGUCAGUGGUGAAAUCUCCCCGCUCAACGGGGAAACGGCCAUUGAUACUGUAGGACUUGAAUUAUUAGGAAGUAACUAGAAUAUGUAGUGUAGCGGUGAAAUGCUUAGAGAUUACAUGGAAUACCAAUUGCGAAGGCAGGUUACUACUAAUGGAUUGACGCUGAUGGACGAAAGCGUGGGUAGCGAACAGGAUUAGAUACCCUGGUAGUCCACGCCGUAAACGAUGGAUACUAGCUGUUGGAAGCAAUUUCAGUGGCUAAGCGAAAGUGAUAAGUAUCCCACCUGGGGAGUACGUUCGCAAGAAUG